RNAcentral lists this ribosomal RNA (257 nucleotides) under uncultured bacterium. RNAcentral describes it as "partial 16S ribosomal RNA". It matches the Rfam family "Bacterial small subunit ribosomal RNA", at positions 57 to 305 of the family's 1533-position model. The record is from RNAcentral.
GCAAGUCGAACGGUGAAGGGGCCUGCUUUUGUGGGUCCUGGAUGAGUGGCGAACGGGUGAGUAACACGUGAGUAACCUGCCCCCUUCUUCUGGAUAACCGCAUGAAAGUGUGGCUAAUACGGGAUAUUCUGGGUCUGUCGCAUGGUGGGCCUGGAAAGGUUUUUUUCCGGUGGGGGAUGGGCUCGCGGCCUAUCAGCUUGUUGGUGGGGUGAUGGCCUACCAAGGCGGUGACGGGUAGCCGGCCUGAGAGGGUGGAC